Long non-coding RNA from Triticum aestivum (bread wheat), 2357 nucleotides. RefSeq lists it as uncharacterized. NCBI's taxonomy places the organism in Eukaryota, Viridiplantae, Streptophyta, Magnoliopsida, Poales, Poaceae. The record is from RefSeq and is a predicted model, not a curated record. The transcript is spliced from 4 exons.
CAGCCCGCACCCCCACCACUCUCUCCUCUCUCACUCGUUCCUAAUCUCUCCAACCGCACACACCACCCGCCGCCAGCCCCAACUCUCCGGCAACCCGCCUCCCCCCGCCACCCACCUCCGGUGACGCGCCGCACCCAGCACUUCCCACCUCCGGCGACGCGCCACGACCACCGCACCCUUCCUCCUCCCUCGUGCCGCGCGCUGCCCUGAACCCUGCCUCCUCCCUCGCACCACCCCCACUGCCCCCCGAGCGUGUCCGUCCCUCCACGGAUCCAAGCUCGCGCGCCACCGCCCCUCCCCCCACGCCGAGCUCGCACGCCACCGCCGCCGGCACCCCCAACUGGCCGCCCCUCGUCAGUUUGUGCGUUCCAUCCACACCAAAAUCGCCGUCCCCAGCUUCCCGUGGAUCCCUGCGCGCCGCCGCCCACCAGAAGGAUGCUCUCGUGCUCCCCGAUGCCGCUUUCUUUAAGCAUUCAUGCGCUCCAAAAGUCAACACGACACAGCUGCUUCCUUCGGCAACACCUCCUACCGGCGCCGGCGAUUCUGAGGUUACCUCGUUAGUAGUUCAACUUUGCUAAAUCCUGUAGUUAACCAUUGCUAAAAAUCAUCUUAGAAAUUAUCUCGUUUAAAUAGUUCACCUUUUCUAAAAACUGUAGUUCUCUGGUUAGAAAAACAAUAGUUAUCUCUGCAAAAAAGUAUGACAAUCUUUUGGUAAAGUCUCAAUUUCUUCUCAGUUUUAGUGUACGCUCGCUGGCGAUGCGUCCAGCAUGCUUGCGGUGAUAGCGCCAUAGUGGCCACCACUAAUGUCAUUGGCGGCCAGCAUGCUUGCACAAAAAAUAGCUAGCUAGGUGUACAGGAUCGUCUAUUUUAUCCCCUGAAACAGGGUGCUCAGGACGUCUAUUUUAUUUUCUGAAACACUAGCUAGGUGUUCCCAGUUCAGUACAUGGACUACCAUCAGCUCUAGUUGCUGCUUCCUGCCACCAACGAAUUGCGCAAGUUCAAAGAGUGUCGCAUGACAAAUUCAAAAAGUGUUGUAUGGCAAGUUCAGAAUUUUGGUUUCGUGAGAAGUGUGAUUUUUGGACAAUAUUUUGUGCAAUUCAUUUGUUCAUCUUCAGAACUUGGAGAUGUGAAGUCUACUUUUUUCUAUGACGAAGGUACACAUGAGCUCCAUCUCCAAUGGUUAUCCGCCCUAGUGCUUCAAAGAUGCUUAUUUUGUUUUCCCCGUGACGCAGCGAGGAUGAUAGUGACGACACUUGCAAAAUUGUUUUCUGUGUUGCUAUGUUGCCAGUCCAAAGUGUGGUGAAGAUGUAGUCCUGGGUGUGUAGAUGAUGUGGUGUGUGUCUGGUUGUGUGUGUGUGCAUGAUGAUUGGUGGCUGUUGUGUGUGUGUGCAGGGUACGUCCGGCGACAGCGGGUAGGCGGCAAGUGUACUGGUGAGCAGCUACUGAACUGAUUCUGACACUGCAACAUUAAUCCACUCUGCCUCCUCCGACGAGUUCUUCACUCCAAGUUCUCCCAUGAGGUCGUCUCUGGUUUGAGAAAGAUCAUUCAACUUCCAAUCUAUUUGGACUGAUAGUUCAACUUCUUCUGUACAGAAGGUUCAGGACCCAACCCAACCAGCGUCGCCAUGGCAUGGCGCCUACUGGCGAAGGACCACCACCUACCCGACGACGUGCCCAAACCCGCCGACGAGGCCUGCCACCCCAAACCUCCUCCUUCCUCCUCGCAUCGGGAUGAGCAAGAUCCAGCCGACGCCUGAAGCCCAUCCCACCAUUGUACCUCCCCCUUCCCCUCGCUGCACUGACCGGUGUGCCACAGCGCCGCCGCCAAGUGCGCGUAUGGAAGGCCGAGAAGUUCUAUUGCUCGUAUACGCCAAGUUCAGAGAAGUUGCCGCCAACGGCGCCGGAGCAACGGGUACUAUAAGUAUUAGACGGCAAGUGUAUUGAGGUGAGCAGCAAGACGAGGCGUGAAGCAUGCCAUCAUGUGUAUGCGGCGAGCUGCUACAACACUAGUGCGGCUACUGUCACAGAUGAACUUGGCUGGUCGAAGCUGCUUGUACUAAACAUGUGUGUCUGUGUUAUCUUUGGUAGUCAAUGAUGCAGACUAAACAUGUGUGCAUGUGUUAUCAUAGGCAGUCAAUGCUUGUAGCUGCUUGGGGGGACGCAAACAGUACAUGUUAAUUAGUCUUGGUUUGUGGUUAGACAUGCAAACAGUACAUGUGUGUACUGUUGCUCUUGCUUAUUAAAGCCUGCAUCGAUAGUUAAUCUUGAACUGGAUGUGUUAUUCUAUGUUAGGUGAAUGAAGCCUCGGGGCCAGCAGCCACCUGCGCUACAGAAUACAAGUGUUUACAGUUUGCUCA